This 827-nucleotide ribosomal RNA is filed under the name Leifsonia sp. HAP1-19_Pa. RNAcentral's name for it is "bacterial SSU rRNA". It matches the Rfam family "Bacterial small subunit ribosomal RNA", at positions 60 to 896 of the family's 1533-position model. Lineage: Bacteria; Bacillati; Actinomycetota; Actinomycetes; Micrococcales; Microbacteriaceae. The record is from RNAcentral.
AGUCGAACGAUGAUCCAGGAGCUUGCUCUUGGGGAUUAGUGGCGAACGGGUGAGUAACACGUGAGCAAUCUGCCCUUCACUCUGGGAUAACCUCCGGAAACGGAAGCUAAUACCGGAUAUGACGCACGGAGGCAUCUCCUGUGCGUGGAAAGAACUUCGGUGAAGGAUGAGCUCGCGGCCUAUCAGGUAGUUGGUGAGGUAACGGCCCACCAAGCCUACGACGGGUAGCCGGCCUGAGAGGGUGACCGGCCACACUGGGACUGAGACACGGCCCAGACUCCUACGGGAGGCAGCAGUGGGGAAUAUUGCACAAUGGGCGCAAGCCUGAUGCAGCAACGCCGCGUGAGGGACGACGGCCUUCGGGUUGUAAACCUCUUUUAGUAGGGAAGAAGCGAAAGUGACGGUACCUGCAGAAAAAGCACCGGCUAACUACGUGCCAGCAGCCGCGGUAAUACGUAGGGUGCAAGCGUUGUCCGGAAUUAUUGGGCGUAAAGAGCUCGUAGGCGGUUUGUCGCGUCUGCUGUGAAAACCCGAGGCUCAACCUCGGGCCUGCAGUGGGUACGGGCAGACUAGAGUGCGGUAGGGGAGAAUGGAAUUCCUGGUGUAGCGGUGGAAUGCGCAGAUAUCAGGAGGAACACCGAUGGCGAAGGCAGUUCUCUGGGCCGUAACUGACGCUGAGGAGCGAAAGCGUGGGGAGCGAACAGGAUUAGAUACCCUGGUAGUCCACGCCGUAAACGUUGGGCGCUAGAUGUGGGGACCAUUCCACGGUUUCCGUGUCGCAGCUAACGCAUUAAGCGCCCCGCCUGGGGAGUACGGCCGCAGGGCUA